RNAcentral lists this ribosomal RNA (431 nucleotides) under uncultured Alphaproteobacteria bacterium. Its description in RNAcentral is "bacterial SSU rRNA". It matches the Rfam family "Bacterial small subunit ribosomal RNA", at positions 29 to 507 of the family's 1533-position model. Lineage: Bacteria; Pseudomonadati; Pseudomonadota; Alphaproteobacteria. The record is from RNAcentral.
AGCGAACGCUGGCGGCAGGCCUAACACAUGCAAGUCGAGCGCCCCGCAAGGGGAGCGGCAGACGGGAGAGUAACACGUGGGAACAUGCCCUUCAGUACGGAACAACCAAGGGAAACUUUGGCUAAUACCGUAUACGUCCGUAAGGAGAAAGAUUUAUCGCUGAAGGAUUGGCCCGCGUCUGAUUAGCUAGUUGGUGAGGUAAUGGCUCACCAAGGCGACGAUCAGUAGCUGGUCUGAGAGGAUGAUCAGCCUCACUGGGACUGAGACACGGCCCAGACUCCUACGGGAGGCAGCAGUGGGGAAUAUUGGACAAUGGGCGCAAGCCUGAUCCAGCCAUGCCGCGUGGAUGAUGAAGGCCCUAGGGUUGUAAAGUCCUUUCGGCGGGGAAGAUAAUGACGGUACCCGCAGAAGAAGCCCCGGCUAACUUCGUG